This 357-nucleotide long non-coding RNA is filed under the name Homo sapiens (human). Its description in RNAcentral is "HSALNT0059191". Lineage: Eukaryota; Metazoa; Chordata; Mammalia; Primates; Hominidae. The record is from RNAcentral.
UGAACUACAAAUGGGAAAUUAGCUCCAUUGAUAAAGAAGGGAAUAGACACGGCAAGGACUUGAUUUUUCCACCUAUGCGCUUUCCACUAAGCCACAGUUUCUCUAAUAGUCGUCUGUGGAAUUUACACACGGAGGUGAACAUUUUGUGUGGCUUAAAUUACAUUUCUACACCGGGAACCCUCUUCUCACCAUUUUCUCCAAAAUUGAAGAACAAGACUGUGGGGAAGAAGCAUUUUCUUGGCCAAUUAUGGAAAGAAACGGGCUCAGGAAUCUUCCCCUUCCCUUUAUUUUACCUUCUGUGUUUGUAUCAUCUUCAUUUUUACCCUUUUUCUCAAGUUCUUCUAAUUGACUUAAUGG